This 497-nucleotide ribosomal RNA is filed under the name uncultured bacterium. Its description in RNAcentral is "partial 16S ribosomal RNA". It matches the Rfam family "Bacterial small subunit ribosomal RNA", at positions 28 to 507 of the family's 1533-position model. The record is from RNAcentral.
GAUGAACGCUGGCGGCGUGCCUAAUACAUGCAAGUCGAGCGAACGGACGAGAAGCUUGCUUCUCUGAUGUUAGCGGCGGACGGGUGAGUAACACGUGGAUAACCUACCUAUAAGACUGGGAUAACUUCGGGAAACCGUAGCUAAUACCGGAUAAUAUUUUGAACCGCAUGGUUCAAAAGUGAAAGACGGUCUUGCUGUCACUUAUAGAUGGAUCCGCGCUGCAUUAGCUAGUUGGUAAGGUAACGGCUUACCAAGGCAACGAUGCAUAGCCGACCUGAGAGGGAGAUCGGCCACACUGGAACUGAGACACGGUCCAGACUCCUACGGGAGGCAGCAGUAGGGAAUCUUCCGCAAUGGGCGAAAGCCUGACGGAGCAACGCCGCGUGAGUGAUGAAGGUCUUCGGAUCGUAAAACUCUGUUAUUAGGGAAGAACAUAUGUGUAAGUAACUGUGCACAUCUUGACGGUACCUAAUCAGAAAGCCACGGCUAACUACGUG